RNAcentral lists this unclassified non-coding RNA (365 nucleotides) under Roldana eriophylla. Its description in RNAcentral is "partial external transcribed spacer". The record is from RNAcentral. Lineage: Eukaryota; Viridiplantae; Streptophyta; Magnoliopsida; Asterales; Asteraceae.
ACUUCCACCUGGCUUACCUCCUCAGUUAUGCGCCAAGGCUUGUAUCGCUUGGAGCGUAUUGUGGGUUUCUUGUGUUGUAUACCUAAUAUAUGGCAUCAUUUUGACUAAUUGAAGUCCUUUUUUUUUGUGUGUUGCAUUUGUGAUACAUGAUGAACCUUGAAGUGAUCUCUAUGAUCCAUCAUGUUGAUGCACAUGCAUUGAUCGUGUGGCCCGUUGAGUUUUUCCUGGUCUCUUGGAUACGGAACAUGUUGUGGCUUUAGGUUCUUUCAUUAUCCUUGUUUUGCCGUUGUUUUUUAUUCCCUAAAUGACAGUGCAUGCACGCCUAGGCUCGUACCUGCGUGAUGAUCUAUGUCGAUGUAGAAUGC